CUCUCAGUAGUCAACAGAGACAGAAAGUAAAAGGCACAUAAAUGCCUGGAUUUCCUUCUAGAGGUUUUAGAAACACUCACAAGGUUGGUAGGCUGAUGUGGGAGGGUGUGGAAACGAUACAACUCUUGAGUGCACAUAAAAGCCUACGUUAAAUCCUCAAACGCUUAUAUUUUACAUAACGUUUGAUCGGGAAGCUUACAGGGUGUAGAUGUGAAAAGUGGGUUUUUCACCCUGGCUUGUUAGUGACUAGCGAUCACAGAUCCCAAAGAGGGCGCUAAAAGCAGGACGCCUCCAGGUGCGGGGAGCUGUCCCAAAGAGAGAAAGCAGCAGCAGCAGCAACACAAAACUCAGAGACCCUGGGCUGGGUUUUCCACCACAGCAGACAAAAGAGCGGAGCGAAUGAAGGGGACGCAGCGGGCCUUCUCGGGCGGUAGGAGAUCGGUCCCAGCAUUCAAAGUGUGUCUUCUAUUAUCUAAAUAAUCCUUACAACAUCCCUGUAAGAGAAUAGAAGAUGGUAUGAAGAGGUGCCAUUGCCUGCGGUAAGCAUCCUCCUCCUCCUGUAUCCCCUGUUCACAAGGGCUUCAGACA
This is a long non-coding RNA of Rhineura floridana, 588 nucleotides long. RefSeq lists it as uncharacterized. The record is from RefSeq and is a predicted model, not a curated record. The transcript is spliced from 3 exons. Lineage: Eukaryota; Metazoa; Chordata; Lepidosauria; Squamata; Rhineuridae.